This 2463-nucleotide ribosomal RNA is filed under the name Salmonella enterica subsp. enterica serovar Typhimurium. RNAcentral's name for it is "partial 23S ribosomal RNA". It matches the Rfam family "Bacterial large subunit ribosomal RNA", at positions 580 to 2925 of the family's 2925-position model. The record is from RNAcentral. Lineage: Bacteria; Pseudomonadati; Pseudomonadota; Gammaproteobacteria; Enterobacterales; Enterobacteriaceae.
CAGGUUUACCUGUGUGACUGCGUACCUUUUGUAUAAUGGGUCAGCGACUUAUAUUCUGUAGCAAGGUUAACCGUAUAGGGGAGCCGUAGGGAAACCGAGUCUUAACCGGGCGUUAAGUUGCAGGGUAUAGACCCGAAACCCGGUGAUCUAGCCAUGGGCAGGUUGAAGGUUGGGUAACACUAACUGGAGGACCGAACCGACUAAUGUUGAAAAAUUAGCGGAUGACCUGUGGCUGGGGGUGAAAGGCCAAUCAAACCGGGAGAUAGCUGGUUCUCCCCGAAAGCUAUUUAGGUAGCGCCUCGUGAAUUCAUCUCCGGGGGUAGAGCACUGUUUCGGCUAGGGGGCCAUCCCGGCUUACCAACCCGAUGCAAACUGCGAAUACCGGAGAAUGUUAUCACGGGAGACACACGGCGGGUGCUAACGUCCGUCGUGAAGAGGGAAACAACCCAGACCGCCAGCUAAGGUCCCAAAGUCAUGGUUAAGUGGGAAACGAUGUGGGAAGGCCCAGACAGCCAGGAUGUUGGCUUAGAAGCAGCCAUCAUUUAAAGAAAGCGUAAUAGCUCACUGGUCGAGUCGGCCUGCGCGGAAGAUGUAACGGGGCUAAACCAUGCACCGAAGCUGCGGCAGCGAACGUAUCACCCAAGACAACUUUACGGAGUUGACGAUUGACGGAGCGAAGCGACGUCAAAGCGUUCAUUAAAGUCGAGUUGGCUUAGGGAUACGUUCGUUGGGUAGGGGAGCGUUCUGUAAGCCUGUGAAGGUGUGUCGUGAGGCAUGCUGGAGGUAUCAGAAGUGCGAAUGCUGACAUAAGUAACGAUAAAGCGGGUGAAAAGCCCGCUCGCCGGAAGACCAAGGGUUCCUGUCCAACGUUAAUCGGGGCAGGGUGAGUCGACCCCUAAGGCGAGGCCGAAAGGCGUAGUCGAUGGGAAACGGGUUAAUAUUCCCGUACUUGGUGUUACUGCGAAGGGGGGACGGAGAAGGCUAUGUUGGCCGGGCGACGGUUGUCCCGGUUUAAGCGUGUAGGUGUGUGUUCCAGGUAAAUCCGGUUCACUUUAACACUGAGGCGUGACGACGAGGCACUACGGUGCUGAAGCAACAAAUGCCCUGCUUCCAGGAAAAGCCUCUAAGCAUCAGGUAACACGAAAUCGUACCCCAAACCGACACAGGUGGUCAGGUAGAGAAUACCAAGGCGCUUGAGAGAACUCGGGUGAAGGAACUAGGCAAAAUGGUGCCGUAACUUCGGGAGAAGGCACGCUGACACGUAGGUGAAGUGAUUUACUCAUGGAGCUGAAGUCAGUCGAAGAUACCAGCUGGCUGCAACUGUUUAUUAAAAACACAGCACUGUGCAAACACGAAAGUGGACGUAUACGGUGUGACGCCUGCCCGGUGCCGGAAGGUUAAUUGAUGGGGUCAGCGCAAGCGAAGCUCCUGAUCGAAGCCCCGGUAAACGGCGGCCGUAACUAUAACGGUCCUAAGGUAGCGAAAUUCCUUGUCGGGUAAGUUCCGACCUGCACGAAUGGCGUAAUGAUGGCCAGGCUGUCUCCACCCGAGACUCAGUGAAAUUGAACUCGCUGUGAAGAUGCAGUGUACCCGCGGCAAGACGGAAAGACCCCGUGAACCUUUACUAUAGCUUGACACUGAACAUUGAGCCUUGAUGUGUAGGAUAGGUGGGAGGCUUUGAAGUGUGGACGCCAGUCUGCAUGGAGCCGACCUUGAAAUACCACCCUUUAAUGUUUGAUGUUCUAACGUGGACCCGUAAUCCGGGUUGCGGACAGUGUCUGGUGGGUAGUUUGACUGGGGCGGUCUCCUCCUAAAGAGUAACGGAGGAGCACGAAGGUUGGCUAAUCCUGGUCGGACAUCAGGAGGUUAGUGCAAUGGCAUAAGCCAGCUUGACUGCGAGCGUGACGGCGCGAGCAGGUGCGAAAGCAGGUCAUAGUGAUCCGGUGGUUCUGAAUGGAAGGGCCAUCGCUCAACGGAUAAAAGGUACUCCGGGGAUAACAGGCUGAUACCGCCCAAGAGUUCAUAUCGACGGCGGUGUUUGGCACCUCGAUGUCGGCUCAUCACAUCCUGGGGCUGAAGUAGGUCCCAAGGGUAUGGCUGUUCGCCAUUUAAAGUGGUACGCGAGCUGGGUUUAGAACGUCGUGAGACAGUUCGGUCCCUAUCUGCCGUGGGCGCUGGAGAACUGAGGGGGGCUGCUCCUAGUACGAGAGGACCGGAGUGGACGCAUCACUGGUGUUCGGGUUGUCAUGCCAAUGGCACUGCCCGGUAGCUAAAUGCGGAAGAGAUAAGUGCUGAAAGCAUCUAAGCACGAAACUUGCCCCGAGAUGAGUUCUCCCUGAGACUUAGAGUCUCCUGAAGGAACGUUGAAGACGACGACGUUGAUAGGCCGGGUGUGUAAGCGCAGCGAUGCGUUGAGCUAACCGGUACUAAUGAACCGUGAGGCUUAACCUUACAACGCCGAAG